CAAUACAGAGUGGCAGACGGGUGCGUAACACGUGGGAACAUGCCUUUUGGUUUGGAAUAACUCAGGGAAACUUGAGCUAAUACCGGAUAAGCCCUUUGGGGGAAAGAUUUAUCGCCGAAAGAUUGGCCCGCGUCUGAUUAGCUAGUUGGUAGGGUAAUGGCCUACCAAGGCGACGAUCAGUAGCUGGUCUGAGAGGAUGAUCAGCCACACUGGGACUGAGACACGGCCCAGACUCCUACGGGAGGCAGCAGUGGGGAAUAUUGGACAAUGGGCGCAAGCCUGAUCCAGCCAUGCCGCGUGAGUGAUGACGGCCUUAGGGUUGUAAAGCUCUUUUACCUGCGAAGAUAAUGACUGUACCAGGAGAAUAAGCCCCGGCUAACUUCGUGCCAGCAGCCGC
RNAcentral lists this ribosomal RNA (397 nucleotides) under uncultured bacterium. RNAcentral's name for it is "bacterial SSU rRNA". It matches the Rfam family "Bacterial small subunit ribosomal RNA", at positions 86 to 518 of the family's 1533-position model. The record is from RNAcentral.